Molecule: ribosomal RNA, 216 nt
Filed under: uncultured bacterium
Lineage: Bacteria
Description: partial 16S ribosomal RNA
Rfam family: Bacterial small subunit ribosomal RNA
Source: RNAcentral
ACUCCUACGGGAGGCAGCAGUGGGGAAUAUUGCACAAUGGGCGCAAGCCUGAUGCAGCCAUGCCGCUGUAUGAAGAAGGCCUUCGGGUUGUAAAGUACUUUCAGCAGUGAGGAAGGUGGAUAUGUUAAUAGCAUAUUAUUGACGUUUAGCUGCAGAAGAAGCACCGGCUAACUCCGUGCCAGCAGCCGCGGUAAUACGGAGGGUGCGAGCGUUAAU